RNAcentral lists this long non-coding RNA (3746 nucleotides) under Homo sapiens (human). RNAcentral's name for it is "HSALNT0011084". The record is from RNAcentral. Lineage: Eukaryota; Metazoa; Chordata; Mammalia; Primates; Hominidae.
GUUUGAACUAGGAGAGGUGGAAGUGUUAAGGCUGUGAAAUUACGGCUAACAAAAUAGGCAGGUAGAGGAAAUUGAUUAUCAGAAAGGAGAAUGGGGCAGACGUUCAGGUUGAAGUGGACAUGGGAGGUUGUGUGGUGCUAGUUCUUGGCCUUACUACCUGAAAUUGGUUUCCUUACUAUUCCCUUCAAUACUAACAGUAAACUUACUUUUUACUUGAGCUUCUUAGAGCUGGUGUCUGCUUCUCAUAGACAAACAAUCCCUGAUCAGAGUGUUCCCAAAUAUUAACACAAUGUGUUUCGUUCCUGUGCACGCAUUUCUCCUGCCUUCAGUAACUCUGCACAUUCUGUUCUCCAGCUCACUCUGUUCGUUUCUGAAAACCCAGCUCAGCAGUCAGUCCCCUUCUGUGGAAGGUUUUAAGUUAUUUAUUGAAGAAUAGAUAGCUCAUAGUAAGGAAGCAGAGGGACUUUCAGUUAGGGGAGGGUAAUGGGAGCCAAGCAACAGAGAAGGGGUGUGUACAGGAACAGGGCAAUGAGAAGGAUCAAAGCAGAGGCUUGUUUAUGUUAGAGAAUAGAGGGGAGAGCAAACUUCAAGUACUUCUGCAGGACAAAUAUUUGUGAUCUUGGCGUCAUUUUGUCUGAAGGCUAAGGGCUCACCACGUACUGGAUACCACGGAGAGGUCAUACUGUAAUUUAUCCCAGCUAAGAAAGAAACUGUAGCUAUUCCCGGGUAUCAGUAAUAACCCAUUUCUGUAGCAUUGCGAGGUUCAGCUCAAGACAGAGGACCACCCAGACGUACUACAAAUGUUUCUGCUAGAAUUCAAAUAAAUCACAUUUGCAGACACUAUAGUGCUUCCCAUCAGGGGUGAGAAGGGUUGGCAGGUGGUGGAGAGAAUACCAAGACCUAGGCUCUCCUGAUCUCCCUGCAUCCCUGUCAUUUUUGGCAAUGUCGCUAAUCGGCCCAGCAGCCCGAAUCCACACGCCCCGGCGUCCGGGCUCUGCAAGGUGCAGCUGGUCUCAGGCCCUGUCUCAGAAUACAGAAGUAAUCAGAAUUUAUUCACGUGGGCCGACUGAGAGUUUUGACGUCAAAGGGCAAUCCUGUCUGAUUGAUACCACUCAAAUGGCAAUAUUGUUUGAAGAAAUGUAGUUAGAGAGAUGGCAAUUUAAAGGCUAUAAGAAGUUACAGGAAAAGAUUUUGUGAAUAGAGACUAUAAAGCACUCCUGUAACCUUGGCCCCAAAGAGGGCUCUCCAGACAGAAAGUUGCCUGCAUGUCCCGGUGCGUGUUUUUGAGUGUGAUACUGUUCUUCACUGCUCUGUCCCAAGAAAUCCAGCAUUGCCUAUGGCAUACCUUCUGAGGAAAGCCUUUGGGGCAAAGAAAUUACAAAAAUGAAGGUGGGGGAGUAUUACAAUUUGUAACAGUCACUUAAGAAUUCUCAACAUGUUUUUUUCAUUGGCUAUAAACAAAACAAGGUAAUACAAGACACCUGUGACCAUGCAAAAAAUAAGAGGCACAGAUGCCCCACCGUUAAAGCAAGCAGGUCACGCAGCAGGGGCAUUCCUGUGGGUGAGCGGCCUGGGAGACCAACAGAGAAGAAUCACCCAGGAGGUAAAACAGCAUUCAGUGAGCAAGAGGCACAGAAGUCUAGGGUGAAAUUGCCAGUGAAACAGCCUUCUCAGAAUGCUGGGAUUUUAGAAAGCACAGCUGGGAAGUUGUGGGCUGGAGAAUCCAUCAGCCUCCCUCGUUGUCUAUCUCUUUCCUUCCUAACUUUCUUGUAUCAGCCAUCAGUGCCACACUGGGUGCUGGGCUUGAGGGGAUAAAAUGGGGAACAUACGCACCCGGUUUCUGUCCUUAGGGGGCUUAGAGUAGAAUGGGGAAGAGAUAAACCCAAGUAAAUAGCAUACAAAUAAAAUAAUUGCCAACUGUGAUAAAGGACUUUGAAGAAAGCAAUUAAAGUUCUGAGUUAGAAGGUAACAUGAGAGUAAAUUGCGUUUCCUAGGGUGGUCAGGAAAUGUUUUUUUGGACAGACUUAACAUAUAAACAGAUCUGUAAGGAGCAGGGAGGAUUUUAAAGUUUGCAGUGGGUAGAGAGGUUGGGAAAGUACUGAAAGAAAGUGGUGUGGUUGGAGAACAAUAUACAAAUGUGACAAUGAAACAAAAUGGAACAAAAGAAAAGGGAAGGCUUGUCAUCAGACGUGGUGACAAGUUCAUUUUGAUCUCUCACCCUCUAUCUUCACGGUCUCUUCAGGCCUCCUAGACUUCCAUUGGAAAGCCCUGGCCUCUUGGAAUUACAGGUGUUGGAAAUCCACACCAAACUAACUUGAGCAGGGAAGGGGAAUUACCAUACUGUGAGCUGUCAGGGUGCAGCUGACCAAUAGAUGGCUGGGGCCCGGGGAUAUGGGCAUCGAGAUUCACUUUUUUUUCUCCUGUGGUUCUCCUUCAUUGUCCAGCAGACAGGCCUUGGCCUGUACUACAGUGGGACAGUGUUUCCAGUAGCAACUGUUUAUCUUCCCAAAUUUGCCACCAGGCAGUGGGGGGCUGUCUUCCCUUACUUCCAGUUUGGCUCAUGCUUGGUGAGAGACUCUGUUUUCCUUGGCUUGGGUCACAUUCCCACCCAAGGAGACAGGGUGCUGCCGGUGGCAGCGUGGGGGAAAGGAGCAACUCCCCUGCAGAUGCCUGCCUGCCUGUGAGGGCGUCGAUAUGAGUGAGAAAGGGUAAAGAGCUGUGAGUAUGUGUAUUGUGAGAUUGUGUGUGUGUGUUUAUGUAGAUGUGUGCAUGUGUAUGUGAGUGUGUAUGAAUGUAUGUGUGUAUGUGUGACUGGGAGAACAUGUAUGUGUGUACAUUUGUGAGUAUGUAUAUAUGUUGAGUGUUAUGUGUAAAAUUGUGUCUCCCUAAAAUUCUUAUGUUGAAAUCCUAGCCCCUAAUACCUUAGAAUUCAACGUUAUUUGGAGAGAGGUCUUCGUAUAGAUAAUCAAGUUCAAAGGAGACAUUAGGGUGGGCUGUAAUCCCAUUAGCUGUUGUCUUUGUAAAAGGGGAAAUUUGGACACAGAGCCACUCAGAGAGGGAAGAGGUCGUGAAGAGACACUGGCAGAAGAUAGCCAUGUACAAGCCAAGUAGAGAGGACUGGAACAGAUCCUUCCCUCACAGCCUCCGAGGAACCAACCUGGCCGACACCUUGAUUUCAGACUUCUGGCCUCCAGAACUGUGUGAGACAGCACAUUUCUGUUGUGGAAGCCACCCAGUCUGUGGUACUUUGUUACAGCAGCUCCAGCAAAUGCACACCAUGAGCGUGUGUGUGACUGUGGGCAUCUGAGUGUCAAUGUCAAUGUAUGUGUAGACUGGGAGUUGCUCUGGUCAUAAAUCUAAAGAUGGCUAUCAUGCUGCUCCUUUUCUUUGCUUAUCCAAUACCACUCACAUUUCGAGGCCUGCCACAAAUCCCCCUCCUUCUUGACAUCUUUCAUGGGUUCUCAGUGCUCCAGGUGCAAUUCUGGCUGCCACCAAUUAAUCGCGUGAUUCAUGGUGACCUUGAGGGAAACAACCUUUCUCAUUAAUCUUUGGGUCCCUGUAUUUGUCUUAUGGCCCAGCAUGUAGUAAGUACUCAAAUAAUAUUUGUUUGCUUCACUUAACCUUCUAUUUAAUUUUUUUUACUGUGAAAUAAAACAAAUGUAGAAAAUUGUACAAAACAAGAGUUUACAGCCCAGUGUUUUAUCACAAAGUGAACAUCUGUGUAACUACUACACAGAGCAAAAAAU